GCAUAGAUUUAGAUUGAUGGCAGUUUCAAUCCCAUGGGCCUCUCAUAGUGUCCCAUGCCAAAGCAAACGGGACCAUUGCCCGAACUUUUGACUGGCUUUACCCCGUGGGCUUCAGGCACUGAAGCGGGUUGCACAGUG
Echinops telfairi (small Madagascar hedgehog) is the source of this 138-nucleotide small nucleolar RNA. Lineage: Eukaryota; Metazoa; Chordata; Mammalia; Afrosoricida; Tenrecidae. The record is from Ensembl.